CAGAGACUGCAAGCGUUAUUCGGAUUCACUGGGCGUAAAGGGUGCGCAGGCGGCCAAGUGUGUGAGGCGUGAAAGCCUGGAGCUUAACUCCAGAAUUGCACCUCAAACUACUUGGCUAGAGCAUUGGAGAGGGUAGCAGAAUUCACGGUGUAGCAGUGAAAUGCGUAGAUAUCAUGAGGAAUACCAGAGGCGAAGGCGGCUACCUGGACAAUUGCUGACGCUCAGGCACGAAAGCGUGGGGAGCAAAAGGGAUUAGAUACCCCUGUAGUCCACGCCCUAAACGGUGCACACUAGGUCUUGGCGGAUUCGACCCCCCCAGGGCCCAAGCUAACGCGUUAAGUGUGCCGCCUGAGGACUACGGCCGCAAGGCUA
This 372-nucleotide ribosomal RNA is filed under the name uncultured organism. RNAcentral's name for it is "bacterial SSU rRNA". It matches the Rfam family "Bacterial small subunit ribosomal RNA", at positions 526 to 896 of the family's 1533-position model. The record is from RNAcentral.